CGCCUGACCUCAACUUUUUGAUGUAGACAUUUAGUACUACAAGCAUUCCUUCUAACACUGCUUUUGCUGCAUCCUAGAGAUUUUGGAUUUGUACCAUAUGUCUAAGUUGUGCAUGCCAAGGAUAAUGGAAACAAGACUGGCGAGGGGAGGCAUGGGUAGGACUUAAAAAUUCCAGAGGUCUGCAAAGGUUUCUUCUCAGGAUAUAUGAAAAACCAUCACAUAUCAUGCUGAAAUCAAGAUAAUAAUACCCUAUACCUGCUUUAAGGCCCAGCAAUUCCACUUCUAUGUAUUUAUCCAGGAGAAAUAAAAACACGUCUACUAAAAGACUCAUACAAGAAUGUUUAUGGAAACCAUAUUCACAAUAACCCCAAGCUGGAAAUGACCCAUAUGUCCAUUAAUAAGAGAACAGAUCAACAAAAUGUGGUAUAUGCAUACAAGGGGAUACUCCUCAGGAAUAAAAAAGGAACAAACUACUGGUAUGUGCAACACAGAUGAGUCUUGAAAACAUAUUGAGUAAAAGAAGCUUUAUAUAAAAGAGUACCUACUGCAUGAUUCCAUUCAUGUGGAGUUCUAGAACAGUUACAACCAACCUAUGGUGCAAAAAAUUAGAACAGUGACCAUCUCUGCGGGUGAGAAAAGGCAACUUUCUAGGAUGAUGAUCAUGUUUUCUAUCUUGAUAGCAGUUUGAGUUAGACAGACGUUAUGGACCAAAUUGUCUUCCCACAAAAUAUGUAUGUGGAAGCUCUAACUCCCAAUGUGACCAUGUUUGGAGACAGGGCUUUUAGGAGAUAGUUAAAUUUAUAUGAGAUUGUAAGAGUGGGGUCCUAAUCCAAUAGGACUGGUGGCCUUAUAAGAAGAGAAUCUCUCUCUCUCUCUCUGUCUGUCUUUCUCUCUUUAUCUCUCAUGAGAACAUAGAAGGCAGACACCUGCAAGCCAGAAAGAGAGCUCGCACUAGAAGCUAACCAUACUUACUCAUGGAUCUUGGAAUCUGAAGCCUCUAGAACUAUGAGAAAAUAAAUAUUGUUGUUUAAGCCACCCAGUCUAUGAUAUUUUGUGAUGGCAGCCUGAGCAGACUAAUGCAACACAUGCAUCCAUAAACACAACAACGUAGCCAGCACUCUGACCAGUGUACCCAAGCAGUCCCCUGUGCUAGCUUCCAGUUACCACCUUCUAAGGUAAACAUGCUCCUGAUU
RNAcentral lists this long non-coding RNA (1193 nucleotides) under Homo sapiens (human). RNAcentral's name for it is "HSALNT0381400". Lineage: Eukaryota; Metazoa; Chordata; Mammalia; Primates; Hominidae. The record is from RNAcentral.